RNAcentral lists this ribosomal RNA (517 nucleotides) under Staphylococcus aureus. RNAcentral describes it as "partial 23S ribosomal RNA". It matches the Rfam family "Bacterial large subunit ribosomal RNA", at positions 1573 to 2090 of the family's 2925-position model. The record is from RNAcentral. Lineage: Bacteria; Bacillati; Bacillota; Bacilli; Caryophanales; Staphylococcaceae.
AAGACAUUGUGUCUUCGAGUCGUUGAUUUCACACUGCCGAGAAAAGCCUCUAGAUAGAAAAUAGGUGCCCGUACCGCAAACCGACACAGGUAGUCAAGAUGAGAAUUCUAAGGUGAGCGAGCGAACUCUCGUUAAGGAACUCGGCAAAAUGACCCCGUAACUUCGGGAGAAGGGGUGCUCUUUAGGGUUAACGCCCAGAAGAGCCGCAGUGAAUAGGCCCAAGCGACUGUUUAUCAAAAACACAGGUCUCUGCUAAACCGUAAGGUGAUGUAUAGGGGCUGACGCCUGCCCGGUGCUGGAAGGUUAAGAGGAGUGGUUAGCUUCUGCGAAGCUACGAAUCGAAGCCCCAGUAAACGGCGGCCGUAACUAUAACGGUCCUAAGGUAGCGAAAUUCCUUGUCGGGUAAGUUCCGACCCGCACGAAAGGCGUAACGAUUUGGGCACUGUCUCAACGAGAGACUCGGUGAAAUCAUAGUACCUGUGAAGAUGCAGGUUACCCGCGACAGGACGGAAAGACC